RNAcentral lists this unclassified non-coding RNA (1530 nucleotides) under Ixodes scapularis (black-legged tick). RNAcentral describes it as "uncharacterized LOC121834618, transcript variant X1". The record is from RNAcentral. Lineage: Eukaryota; Metazoa; Arthropoda; Arachnida; Ixodida; Ixodidae.
GGAAGGACGUCUCAAAGUUGAAUGUAGUUUCCCAUCUUUUACCACAGUCUCGGGUUAUUUUCCAUUCUCAGGCUUCUUGUUUUUGGGGCCUUUCCUACACAGAUUACCAAUAAUAAAGCCAAUACCUUUGCAGAAGACACCGAGAACGCCUGUAUCGACUCGACGCGUAAACAGGAUGUGAUGCCUCUAGUGCGUACGUUGGAAAAGCGACACCGACAAACGAAACAUAACGUCUAAUGUCUCCAGUUUUCCCGCAGGAUGGUGCUGCGCCUAACAAAGUCACUUAGGUCGUAUAUCAGUAAGUGACCGUAAAUGGAUGUCCAAAUCAUUGUGGGAGCCGCCCGCUCCACUUCCCUGAUUAGGCCCUAUGGCCGCGGGAAAAGCACUCCGAGCUGUCCACCUGUCAGCCGGAGCGCCCCGUUUCGUCCCUCGGAGGAGCAGCCAUCUUGCCUGCUUACCCUCGCGUCGCAUACCUCCCCCCCCCCCCCCCCGUGCCCCCCUCCCCCCCUUGCGGGGACACGUGAAACGUCCCCCUGGCGGUUGGACCUUCUUGGGUCCGAGGCUGAGGCCGCCAGCAGAGAGGAAGAGAGAGGGGGGCCUUGCGCCCCGCUCGAGGGGACUGCUCGCGGGGACAUCCAACUGUUCGGACGUGUGGCCCGGCCCUCCCUGACGGCCCACCUCCGAGCCGCUCUCAGGGAGGCACGACAAGGGUGGAGGAAGCUGUGCUUCGGAGACUGCGGGCUUGGGUGGCCAUUACACCGGCUGUAACCUGCACAUGGAGCUCUCCACCCGUCACACGACAGGCGACAUGCCCCAAGUGUCCCCUAGACGCGACGGAAGCGGAUGUGCAUCACCUUAUAUGGACUUGUCCUGGUCUACAGACUGAGCGCACUCGCCUACUUAUAGCUGCAGGUCUCCAACACAGUGCACCCACCAGCUACCAUAAGUGGCUGCAUAACAACCACUAUCACAAGACAUUGCUUCAAUUCAUCCAUACCACAGGCCUUGUAGCAUACAUAUAAGACAUUUAUGCCUAAAAGCAACCCCUACAUAAUAAAAAAAACUACUUUAUUACUAACCAACUAGCCCAACUUUCUACUUCAUUAUUAACUAGCGACCUAUUGCGUUGUCAUGUGAAUUGUCACGUCAUUGUUGAAUUGCUGUCGCUUGACACCUCCACUGACCAAGUUUUAACACGCACUAACAUAAAAAAGCCUAUCCUGAUAGAAUAGUCGUUUUUGAGUUUUCCUGUACAUCAAAGUGCUCAUCAUUAUUUCAUCAAGCACAUAAAGAUGCAAAAAAAUUUAGUGCAUUCUAGGUUAGCCAUAGUAGUAUUUGUAGACAAGUUCUUCUCUUCUACACGGGAGGGAGCCACCUCACCAAGAGAGAGCACGAGUAUCGCGCAAGCGGCUUGGGACCGUUGACCAAUGAGAGACACACACACGGCAAGCACUGUUACCUGCCAUGUCUAGGCAAGCUCGUCGAACUCGAACUCAGUUCUCGGUCUUCUCAGUUGUAUUAACUAAUCGU